Long non-coding RNA from Dicentrarchus labrax (European seabass), 498 nucleotides. RefSeq lists it as uncharacterized. The record is from RefSeq and is a predicted model, not a curated record. The transcript is spliced from 3 exons. Lineage: Eukaryota; Metazoa; Chordata; Actinopteri; Moronidae.
UCGUAAUAUUAUGAGAAUAAAGUCAUAAUAUUAGGUCUACGAGAAUAAAGUCGCAAUAUUACGAGAAUAAAGUCAUAAUAUUAGGUCUACGAGAAUAAAGUCGUAACAUUACGAGAAUAAAGUCGUAAUAUUACGAGAAUAAAGGCAUAAUAUUAGGUCUACGAGAAUAAAGUUGUAAUAUUACGAGAAUAAAGUCGUAACAUUACGAGAAUAAAGUUGUAAUAUUACGAGAAUAAAGGCAUAAUAUUAGGUCUACAAGAAUAAAGUCGUAACAUUACGAGAAUAAAGUUGUAAUAUUACGAGAAUAAAGGCAUAAUAUUAGGUCUACGAGAAUAAAGUCGUAACAUUACGAGAAUAAAGUCGUAAUAUUACGAGAAUAAAGGCAUAAUAUUAGGUCUACGAGAAUAAAGUCGUAAUAUUACGAGAAUAAAGUCGUAACAUUACGAGAAUAAAGUUGUAAUAUUACGAGAAUAAAGUCAUAAUAUUAGGUCUACGAGA